Molecule: ribosomal RNA, 700 nt
Filed under: Bacillus velezensis
Lineage: Bacteria; Bacillati; Bacillota; Bacilli; Caryophanales; Bacillaceae
Description: bacterial SSU rRNA
Rfam family: Bacterial small subunit ribosomal RNA
Source: RNAcentral
CCCGUGGCGGCGUGCUAUACAUGCAGUCGAGCGGACAGAUGGGAGCUUGCUCCCUGAUGUUAGCGGCGGACGGGUGAGUAACACGUGGGUAACCUGCCUGUAAGACUGGGAUAACUCCGGGAAACCGGGGCUAAUACCGGAUGGUUGUCUGAACCGCAUGGUUCAGACAUAAAAGGUGGCUUCGGCUACCACUUACAGAUGGACCCGCGGCGCAUUAGCUAGUUGGUGAGGUAACGGCUCACCAAGGCGACGAUGCGUAGCCGACCUGAGAGGGUGAUCGGCCACACUGGGACUGAGACACGGCCCAGACUCCUACGGGAGGCAGCAGUAGGGAAUCUUCCGCAAUGGACGAAAGUCUGACGGAGCAACGCCGCGUGAGUGAUGAAGGUUUUCGGAUCGUAAAGCUCUGUUGUUAGGGAAGAACAAGUGCCGUUCAAAUAGGGCGGCACCUUGACGGUACCUAACCAGAAAGCCACGGCUAACUACGUGCCAGCAGCCGCGGUAAUACGUAGGUGGCAAGCGUUGUCCGGAAUUAUUGGGCGUAAAGGGCUCGCAGGCGGUUUCUUAAGUCUGAUGUGAAAGCCCCCGGCUCAACCGGGGAGGGUCAUUGGAAACUGGGGAACUUGAGUGCAGAAGAGGAGAGUGGAAUUCCACGUGUAGCGGUGAAAUGCGUAGAGAUGUGGAGGAACACCAGUGGCGA